This is a long non-coding RNA of Syngnathoides biaculeatus (alligator pipefish), 504 nucleotides long. RefSeq lists it as uncharacterized. The record is from RefSeq and is a predicted model, not a curated record. Lineage: Eukaryota; Metazoa; Chordata; Actinopteri; Syngnathiformes; Syngnathidae. The transcript has 3 exons.
CUAGAUUGGCCCUGACAAAGUCGACGAUAUGUUUCGUAAAAACGGGAACAAUUUCGUUUCUUUUUGAACGAUUCCACAGACAGACGACAUGAUCAAAACAAGCCACGUUCACCUCCAAGAGCAAAGCCUUUAUUAUGCAUGCUUGCUCAGGGCAGAAACACAAGGGACAUGCCCACUAACGGCUUGGCCUCCCAAACAAAACCACUUACUGGAUGUGAAUGAUGACUUUUGGACCUGUUUGUCAUGGGUGACUCUACAAUUGGCAUGAAGACCCAGACAACCUAGCUCCUAGGAUCAGUGGGACACACAAACCCCUCCACCACGAUAAGGAACCGGCUUCCAGGAAGUCUGAACAGAUCAUAAGGCAGAAGGAAACACCGAGCGACAGAGCCAGUGAUGGAGCGCUGGCAGAGCCAGCACUGACAGGGCUUAGAUGACAGACGCAAGCUGACAGACGCUGACAUCGCCCUGUCGCCUCGGGGAGACACGCAGCCCUGAGUGAAA